This 494-nucleotide ribosomal RNA is filed under the name uncultured bacterium. RNAcentral describes it as "bacterial SSU rRNA". It matches the Rfam family "Bacterial small subunit ribosomal RNA", at positions 15 to 507 of the family's 1533-position model. The record is from RNAcentral.
GAUCCUGGCUCAGAUUGAACGCUGGCGGAAUGCUUUACACAUGCAAGUCGAACGGUAGAGGGGGCAACCCCUCGAGAGUGGCGAACGGGUGAGUAAUAUAUCGGAACGUGCCCAGUCGUGGGGGAUAACGUAGCGAAAUUUACGCUAAUACCGCAUACGAUCUACGGAUGAAAGCGGGGGACCUGUAAGGGCCUCGCGCGAUCGGAGCGGCCGAUGUCAGAUUAGGUAGUUGGUGGGGUAAAGGCUCACCAAGCCAACGAUCUGUAGCUGGUCUGAGAGGACGACCAGCCACACUGGAACUGAGACACGGUCCAGACUCCUACGGGAGGCAGCAGUGGGGAAUUUUGGACAAUGGGCGCAAGCCUGAUCCAGCAAUGCCGCGUGCAGGAAGAAGGCCUUCGGGUUGUAAACUGCUUUUGUACGGAACGAAAGGCUCUGGUUAAUACCUGGGGCUGAUGACGGUACCGUAAGAAUAAGCACCGGCUAACUACGUG